Long non-coding RNA from Alligator mississippiensis (American alligator), 1537 nucleotides. RefSeq lists it as uncharacterized. The record is from RefSeq and is a predicted model, not a curated record. The transcript is spliced from 2 exons. NCBI's taxonomy places the organism in Eukaryota, Metazoa, Chordata, Crocodylia, Alligatoridae.
GGCGGGAGCAGAUGCCCCGCGGGGUCGGGGCGCCCAGGGGAAGGCGGAGGCGUUUCCGCGAGCACCAGAGUCGCGAGCUAAGGAAGCGCGAGGGGCCCCGCGCCCCGCCGUGUCAUGACGUCAAAUGUCACUUUCCUUGCGCGCUCCGCGACGUCAGGGCAUAGGGGCUGUGACUCGCAGGGCGACAGGGAGGGCGCCGGGCGAGAGGACAAAAAAAGCUUCCCUCUGGAGGACGGAGAUAUUCCCCCUCCCCCCAAUUUGGCUCAUUGUAAUAACGUGUUAGUUUGAAGACCGACUAAAGAACGUUUUGGUUCUUUUAUUAGACCAACUAAAUAGCGGCAAAGAAGUUAUUUGCAAGCAGCCCACCUGUAGCCGUGCAAAUAACGUUUUUCUUUUUUUUUUGCCACUAUUUAGUUGGUGUAAAAAAAAAGAGAUCGCCUCUUCCACGAGUUGUGAUCCCUUCUUAUCCGACAGCUGCAUUUGUUUCACUAGUCAAGUGUGUUUCCCAUUGUGGACAAACUCUUUGGGUAGAGGCAAUCUCUUUUGUUAGACCAACUAAAUAAUGGCAGGAAAAAAAAAAAAAAGUUAUGUGCACGGCUACAGGUGGGCUGCUUGCAGAUAACUUCUUUGCCACUAUUUAGUCGGUCUAACAAAAGAGAUCGCCUCUACCCAAAAAGUUCAUUGGCCUCUGUGGUUAAGCCAACAUGGCUACAGCCUAGAUCCCUCUCUGUAGUAGUGUCUUUCUUCCUCUUCAGGACAUCUUCAACGCUGGCAUAUUUGCAGCUCAAGGCUGUGGGGAAAAUCUAAUUCUGCCCCUGUGGAAAGGAAAGGAAAUGAAGGCGGCACUGACAGGAAGCUCCCUUUGGCGCCUCUUGCUGCCACCUGAAGACAGUCUUUGUUAGGUCCAGCCCCUCCUCACCACCCAGUAGAAAAAUAUGUAGAAAGCCAUGGCAGUCAGGUCUGGUUUAGCUACUGACAAAAUCACAUCUUUGGAAAAAAGUUAAUGGUCAAAGUUUUAGACCAAGUUUUGGAGGUGUGCCCAAUAUUAACAGCAUAAUGUGCUUAUGAUUGAUGCUGUAAUGUUAUUGUAUUCGAUUUAACUGCAGGAUAACUCGGGCUGGAGAUGGUGAAGGGGAAGCAGCUGCCAAAGGGCUUCCAUUAGAAGCUUUGCAAUGGUUGGGAGCUAAACACCUGGCAGAGCAGCUCUGGAGCGACUAGAAGACGCCUUCAAAGUGACCAAAACAAGUCAGUUUCCAGGCUGCUAAUGCCACCAGAAACUCUGCAAACUACCUUGCAUCUGUCUAUCUGCUAAGCAAGUGAAUUCUGAAGAGUUAAGAGUUAAGCUGUAAACCAGAAAGUUAUACAAGCUAUGAACUGACUGCCCAGAGGAAUUUUCCUUCUGUUGACUCCUCUGUGAAAUCCUAUGAAAUACAAACUUCCAUUUCUACCCAGGAGAACUUUUACAAUCUUUUCUCCAAUGCCUGAUUGGGGAUGUUUGUGCCCAAAAGCUCACAAUUAAAGAUUUUUUUUUCAACCA